CUGGAAGGAUGGUCACAAGGAUAG
Molecule: non-coding RNA, 24 nt
Filed under: Cricetulus griseus (Chinese hamster)
Lineage: Eukaryota; Metazoa; Chordata; Mammalia; Rodentia; Cricetidae
Source: RNAcentral